Molecule: microRNA precursor, 225 nt
Filed under: Sorghum bicolor (sorghum)
Lineage: Eukaryota; Viridiplantae; Streptophyta; Magnoliopsida; Poales; Poaceae
Description: MIR6217 microRNA precursor family
Rfam family: MIR6217 microRNA precursor family
Source: Rfam by way of RNAcentral
UGGCUACAAAAUAACUUAUUUUGUAGCCACUUUGAGUUACAAUAAUUACUAUAUUAGUUUACAAGCUUAUAGUAACUCCUUACUAAGUGGUUUACUAUAACAUUACGGUAAAUAUCUCCAUGUGUUAUAAUAACUCAAGUUCGUAAAUAUGUAUACAUAUUAUCGUAAAUUAGUAUAUUAAAUUAUUGUAAAUGGAGGUGGCUACAGAAGGUGGAGUGCUGGCUG